AUGCAGACAGUUAUCCCUCACCGUGCUGCCGUGCGCUCUGAGGGAGUCAGUCUGCUACAGGAACUCUCAGCCAUGA
RNAcentral lists this small nucleolar RNA (76 nucleotides) under Labrus bergylta (ballan wrasse). RNAcentral's name for it is "Small nucleolar RNA SNORA56 (ENSLBEG00000019141.1)". Lineage: Eukaryota; Metazoa; Chordata; Actinopteri; Labriformes; Labridae. The record is from RNAcentral.